Phrynosoma platyrhinos (Desert horned lizard) is the source of this 74-nucleotide non-coding RNA. Lineage: Eukaryota; Metazoa; Chordata; Lepidosauria; Squamata; Phrynosomatidae. The record is from the annotation of a GenBank genome assembly.
GGGCCAGCAUGGCUUAGUGGUUUGAGUGUUGGACUACAAUGCUAGAGAUCAGGGUUCAAUUCCCUGCUCCUCCA